GAUGAAGAACGUAGCAAAAUGCGAUAAGUAAUGUGAAUUGCAGAAUUCAGUGAAUCAUCGAAUCUUUGAACGCACAUUGCGCCCGCUGAUAUUCCGGCGGGCAUGCCUGUUCGAGCGUCAUUUCAACCCUCAAGCCCCCGGGUUUGGUGUUGGGGAUCGGCUCUGCCCUUCUGGGCGGUGCCGCCCCCGAAAUACAUUGGCGGUCUCGCUGCAGCCUCCAUUGCGUAGUAGCUAACACCUCGCAACUGGAACGCGGCGCGGCCAUGCCGUAAAACCCCAACUUCUGAAUGUUGACCUCGGAUCAGGUAGGAAUACCCGCUGAACUUAAGCAUAUCAAUAAGCGGAGGA
Molecule: unclassified non-coding RNA, 348 nt
Filed under: soil metagenome
Description: partial contains 5.8S ribosomal RNA, internal transcribed spacer 2, and large subunit ribosomal RNA
Rfam family: 5.8S ribosomal RNA (bases 1-120)
Source: RNAcentral